RNAcentral lists this transfer RNA (67 nucleotides) under Notocomplana palta. RNAcentral describes it as "tRNA-Trp". Lineage: Eukaryota; Metazoa; Platyhelminthes; Polycladida; Notocomplanidae. The record is from RNAcentral.
GCCUAUAAAUAUAGAAGUGAUUCCAUCCCGGAUUUUUCAAAAGUUUUUUUAAAAAGAUUUUUAGGUU